Molecule: ribosomal RNA, 484 nt
Filed under: uncultured bacterium
Lineage: Bacteria
Description: partial 16S ribosomal RNA
Rfam family: Bacterial small subunit ribosomal RNA
Source: RNAcentral
GAUGAACGCUGGCGGCGUGCUUAACACAUGCAAGUCGAACGAUGAACCGGGUGCUUGCACUCGGGGAUUAGUGGCGAACGGGUGAGUAACACGUGAGCAACCUGCCCCUGACUCUGGGAUAAGCGCUGGAAACGGCGUCUAAUACUGGAUAUGUCCCGUCACCGCAUGGUGUGCGGGUGGCAAGGUUUUUCGGUUGGGGAUGGGCUCGCGCCUAUCAGAUUGUUGGUGAGGUAAUGGCUCACCAAGGCGUCGACGGGUAGCCGGCCUGGGAGGGUGACCGGCCACACUGGGACUGAGACACGGCCCAGACUCCUACGGGAGGCAGCAGUGGGGAAUAUUGCGCAAUGGGCGGAAGCCUGAUGCAGCAACGCCGCGUGAGGGAUGACGGCCUUCGGGUUGUAAACCUCUUUUAGCAGGGAAGAAGCGAGAGUGACGGUACCUGCAGAAAAAGCACCGGCUAACUACGUGCCAGCCGCCGCGGUAA